Molecule: transfer RNA, 74 nt
Filed under: Candidatus Woesearchaeota archaeon
Lineage: Archaea; Nanobdellati; Candidatus Woesearchaeota
Description: tRNA-Asp
Rfam family: tRNA
About the family: Transfer RNA (tRNA) molecules are approximately 80 nucleotides in length.
Source: RNAcentral
GCCCUGGUGGUGUAAUCCGGCUAUCAUGAAGCCCUGUCGCGGCUUCGAUUCGGGUUCAAAUCCCGACCAGGGCG